AGUGAACGCUGGCGGUAGGCCUAACACAUGCAAGUCGAACGGCAGCACAGUAAGGGCUUGCUCUUACGGGUGGCGAGUGGCGGACGGGUGAGGAAUACAUCGGAAUCUACUUUUUCGUGGGGGAUAACGUAGGGAAACUUACGCUAAUACCGCAUACGACCUACGGGUGAAAGCAGGGGAUCUUCGGACCUUGCGCGAUUGAAUGAGCCGAUGUCGGAUUAGCUAGUUGGCGGGGUAAAGGCCCACCAAGGCGACGAUCCGUAGCUGGUCUGAGAGGAUGAUCAGCCACACUGGAACUGAGACACGGUCCAGACUCCUACGGGAGGCAGCAGUGGGGAAUAUUGGACAAUGGGCGCAAGCCUGAUCCAGCCAUACCGCGUGGGUGAAGAAGGCCUUUGGGUUGUAAAGCCCUUUUGUUGGGAAAGAAAAGCAGCAGGUUAAUACCCCGCUGUUCUGACGGUACCCAAAGAAUAAGCACCGGCUAACUUCGUG
Molecule: ribosomal RNA, 492 nt
Filed under: uncultured bacterium
Lineage: Bacteria
Description: partial 16S ribosomal RNA
Rfam family: Bacterial small subunit ribosomal RNA
Source: RNAcentral